UUUUAACGCUUUGGAUAAGUGAAUAAAAUAAAAGAGUUUAUUCGAUUAAGAUAAAUUUGUGAAGGAAAAAGGUUCAGGAAAAGUCCAAGAAUUUAUCGAAAAACCGAUAAGAGUUAUAGCACGACUAACAUACGCAUAAUCCUUGGUCAAAGGUAUUAGUGAAUAGUUAAUUUACGCUUUAGGACACGAUGGAAACUAAUUCCAAAAAUCCUCAGAGAAAUGUUAGAACUUCUCUUUUCCGUCCUUAAACAAUCAUUUCGAUGCGAAAUCCUGGAAAGUACGAACGUCAAAUUCCAAUUCUCGGAAGUUUGCCGAAACGGAAUCCCUGAUAGUUCGAGAAACCUAAGAUCGACAGACGAUGAAGGUUUUUUCUAUUCGGAGCUGCAAAAGAAGAUUCCACCCGCGUUCUCCUAUUUCUCUCGUCAAUUCUAAUCUUUCUUCAGAAGGAAGUUUUCUCAUCCGACGAUCACUGCAAAAAGUAGUUUUUCGGGAUAAACCGACUUACACCGACUUAUGCCGAUCUUGGAUCUUCUGGUUUAAUUCCAAGAAUCCUAUUUUGAGUUCUGGAAUUCUGUCGCCAGAACCUAUCUUAGAAUGCGCAGAGGAACGCGCAGGAAAAAUCGGAAUCGAAAAAAAAUCAUUUUUCCGUUUUUUCCAAAACCUAUAAAUAGCUAGAAAAUUAGAUUUUUUUGAGAAAAAACACCCAUUUCCCCUCCCCAAACCCGCGAGCAUCAAGAGAGAGAGAGAGAUCCGGAUCUUCGUCGUUUCUUGCCCGUUUGCUUCACCGAUCGUCACUAAUCGAAGACCUCGAGGUAGGUAAUCUAUACUCUCCUUCGAAUCGUCGUUUCUGUCCACUUCUCCUGCGACUUUCUGAGUUCAAAAUUUUGAGGUUUUUGAAAAACUGUUCAAAUCAGCUGAUUUCAGCGUCUAAACUUCUUCCCUGCAUGCUCCUGAGCGUGUUCUGCGGAUUAGAUUUUGUCAAAUGUCGACGAAAUGCCGCCGGGAUCAAUUUCUACCCUAAAUACCCAUUUUUCGGCAAAGUCGCAACCUUUAAGCUCUAAUCUAUCGACUUGGCUUAGUGCUAGUAGGAUUUGUCGUCAUAAACGUCGUUGUGGACGUCCCCAUCCAAUUUGUUUUUCAAAAAUCCAAUUUUGAAAUUCUGAGCUAAAAAUAAUGACCAAACUACCCCUAUAUCAGUUUUCGAUCCGAAAAUUUUUCCGAGCCUAGAACCGUCUUAGUUACGGCUUAUGUUAACCUAGGAACCAAGUUUGAUCGAAGAAAAAUCGACCCUCCCAAUUAGAGGAAGUGGCCGAGAGCUAUAUCAAGGGGGGAGGAGAAUCCGAUUUUUCGAAAACUUGUCUUAACGCGUUAGAUUGUCGUACCACGGAGGUAGUAGUGUACUGUGUAACCCUAGGACUCUUUGAUUGCUGAGUUUCUGACUCUUGGUGUUGAUUUCUGUGAUUUUUGCUUAAGGUUCGUUUGAGGAGAUUCCCAGAAAUCAAGGAGAAGAGCUUGAAGAACAUUUUGAGGAGGAAGCUGGAAGACCCACCGAUGAGUAUGGGGGAUUGGUUUACCAUGGUCAGCCCCUCGGGGGGGACCAGGUACGAGAUGCUUGAUCAAGACGACCCAGGUGCAUGGGUGGUCGAUCCCGAGGGCCACCGUGCGACCUACACCGGUCGGGUCAUGGAGGACCGUGUCGACCGAUUCGGACGCUUGACGGAAGGGGUGAUGAGGAGGCACAUAGUGAGCUUCAAUCCUGCCUCCAGGAGUACACUGUGGACCCGGCUUGGGAGGACCUCCACCGCCACCAUCCCCUUCGGAUGAUGAGGACCCCUCUGAGGAGCUGCCAGUAGGUGGGGCUUCGACGGAGUCUAGUCCGUCUACUGCUGCUGCUGUCGUCGCGGAUCUCGUUCCGGGCCCCGAGCCCGAGAGGCCAGUGCAGGAGCGCAUUAGGGUGGACAGAGAGGGCAGUGUUGAGUAUGUCGACUUAGUCGUCCUGGAUGCAGAUUCGGAUGACGACCGCGCUAGCAUGUAGGAUCGAGUGCUAGUGUGGGCUCCUCGGGUAGGGAUUAGUGUAGGAGUAGUGUCGAUGCUCUGACCGUCAUGCUUCAGUUUUGGGGACAGGGUAGUUUCCUACCGGUAGCUUUUUGUGUGGUUUCCUAUGGGGAUCACAGAGAGCUGGUUGGAUUUUUAGGGGGUCUUUUCUUAGGCCGCUGGGCCAACUUGUUCUCAGAUUUUGAGGUUUAGUGUUGCGGACACAGUAUUUUUACCUUGGACUGUACAUAUUGCCUUCGGGCGUUACUCUUUUUCUGUCACCCGUCACUGGAGGUUACUCGUGACGUGGUUGUGUUUAGCGAGGCAUGUAUAUAUAGUUGUAUAGUAGUUCCUUUUA
Lotus japonicus is the source of this 2392-nucleotide long non-coding RNA. RefSeq lists it as uncharacterized. The record is from RefSeq and is a predicted model, not a curated record. Lineage: Eukaryota; Viridiplantae; Streptophyta; Magnoliopsida; Fabales; Fabaceae. The transcript is spliced from 2 exons.